This is a non-coding RNA of Danio rerio (zebrafish), 529 nucleotides long. NCBI's taxonomy places the organism in Eukaryota, Metazoa, Chordata, Actinopteri, Cypriniformes, Danionidae. The record is from RefSeq and is a predicted model, not a curated record.
GAUACCAUAAACUCAACUGACUACUAUGUGAUACUUCAUAAUGAUAAUGGCUUUUCCAUCCCAAACCUUAAAAACACGACUAAUGUAAAUGUUCCUGGUCGUUGGGCUUUUCUUGUCAACAAUGGGACAGAAAACAUCAUAGAACUUCAAAUUAACCUUAGGUCAUUUUUAGACCUAACACAGACUGAAAACGUUCAGAGUGUUUUGCACCUUAUAAAACAGGAGCUGGUCAAUCGAGGAGUGUCAAGCCAGUUUGGGCUGAAAUUAAGAAAACUCGAAAAGAUAUGGCCGUGAUACAAGAAAAGGACUUAAAUCUCUUAUGUUGUUGCCACUGAUGUAGACGACAAGGAUGUUGACCAAUUCAAUUUCUUUUUUUCACCUAACACAUAAAUUAACUACACACAAACAUGAAUGAAUGAUAUUCAUUGAUCCUCUUAUUUCUUCCUAUUGUCAGAUACUGUGGGAAUGUUUCAGAGAAGCUAAUUAAACCAGCCUGUAGUAUGUGAACAAUGUCAUUAAACCUGUUGUU